GGCGACCGGCGCACGGGUGAGUAACACGUAUCCAACCUGCCGAUGACUCGGGGAUAGCCUUUCGAAAGAAAGAUUAAUACCCGAUGGCAUAGUUCUUCCGCAUGGUGGAACUAUUAAAGAAUUUCGGUCAUCGAUGGGGAUGCGUUCCAUUAGGUUGUUGGCGGGGUAACGGGCCCACCAAGCCUUCGAUGGAUAGGGGUUCUGAGAGGAAGGUCCCCCACAUUGGAACUGAGACACGGUCCAAACUCCUACGGGAGGCAGCAUG
RNAcentral lists this ribosomal RNA (265 nucleotides) under uncultured bacterium. Its description in RNAcentral is "partial 16S ribosomal RNA". It matches the Rfam family "Bacterial small subunit ribosomal RNA", at positions 90 to 353 of the family's 1533-position model. The record is from RNAcentral.